AUGGAUGGAAUAAUUAAGCCACUGCUCUCGGCAGGUUCACAGAGGCCUGUGCUGCCAGCAGCUAAACUGGGGACAGAUCUGGGACAGUCACUGUCACCUCCCAACCCCAGCAUCUCACACCUGUCCCUGGGGUGUGGAGAUUCCACCAGCAGCCAGGGCAGCUGCCUAUGCAGGUCAAUAAGAUUACCCUACUCUUGUGAUGUCAUAAAAACCUUGCCCAAUCCCAGGAGAGCCCUCUCCGAAGCUCCACCCAUUGGGGGUGUGACCACUUCCCUGGUGUUGAUGGCCCUGGCUUCUUGGGGUGAACAAGACAGUGACAUGAUGAUGGGAAGACUGAGCCACGGAGCUUCCCACCAGUUCCCCAGGGCCUGUCCCAGCGGUGGUGGACACCAAGCCGAUAGAAGCAAGGAGGUGCCUCCACCUUCCUUGGGAAAAGAUCCGGACCCUCCUCGCCUUCCUGCCCCACCCAUCCCCGUCACUAUGGCAACCACGCAGGCACCUGCAGGCCAUAGAUUUAUUUGACUCUGAGGACAACCCACCUCCUGGAAAGCAAACUGAGGCUCAGAGAAACCAUGUGGUUCGCCAGCAAGGAAUUAUAGAGAGGCUUCUUUGACCUGUCUGGCUGCAGAGCGGGGCUCUUUCUAUGAGACCUGGAGAGCAUUAAGCAUCACCAAAUGGCAAGGACCUUGGAUGCCAACAUUUGGACAGUGUUGCAGGAAUUAGCUGGCCCAUUAAAUUCAGGGCAAGAAGCAUAAGAGUCCAACCUGGGCACUGUAUGAUAAGAAGCCCAAUCCAGGUGAGCAGCUAGCUGUUGUGAACUCCUAUGUGCCAAACAACAUGGCAUCAACAUCUGGCAGAUGGCAGCGCUGGAGCCCAGAUGGGGAAACAGGCUGGAAUCGGCUGGCAGAAGGUCCCCAGUGAUGGACUGAGAUUCUUGACCUAGGGUCCUUGAAGCUUCUUGGUGGACUUCAGUGGCCUGAGAGUCCCCUAAAAUUGCAGAAAACAUUUUGGCUGGACAUGAAUUACUGCUCUAGUACAUUUCUCUCAUCUUCCCCCACAUCCCUAUUUUAUAGAAGGGAAAACUGAGGGGCACCAUGAUUUGCCCAAAGUUCUAUAGCAAUUCAGAGUAAGAACCACAGAUUCAAGGAGGGAGAAUUCUUCCAGAGGUGCCCAGGGCAGUCAAGUAGGGUGGACAGGCUGUUCAAUGCAUAACCCCAGGGGACAUUCUUAAGGACAAAGGUGUGGAUGGCAGCCUCCCAACUUCAGGUCCUGCCAGAUCAAGGGAGGUAUCUUGUUCUCCUUGUAGCCCCCGAAGCCCCCAACCUCCUAGGAAACCCAGCCUCCCACCCUGCUAAGAGGAAUCUCUCCAGGUCCCUCCCAGGGAACGUUUCUGCUGGCUGGGCCGCCAGCAUGUGUGAGA
RNAcentral lists this long non-coding RNA (1420 nucleotides) under Chinchilla lanigera (long-tailed chinchilla). RNAcentral describes it as "lncRNA (ENSCLAG00000028210.1)". The record is from RNAcentral. Lineage: Eukaryota; Metazoa; Chordata; Mammalia; Rodentia; Chinchillidae.